RNAcentral lists this ribosomal RNA (409 nucleotides) under uncultured bacterium. Its description in RNAcentral is "bacterial SSU rRNA". It matches the Rfam family "Bacterial small subunit ribosomal RNA", at positions 64 to 507 of the family's 1533-position model. The record is from RNAcentral.
GAGCGGAAAGGCCCCUUCGGGGGUACUCGAGCGGCGGACGGCUGAGUAACGCGUGGGAACAUGCCCCAAAGUGAGGGAUAACUGCUCGAAAGAGUAGCUAAUACCGCAUAUGAUCUUCGGAUUAAAGGAUUUAUCCGCUUUGGGAGUGGCCUGCGUAUGAUUAGAUAGUUGGUGAGGUAAUGGCUCACCAAGUCGACGAUCAUUAACUGGUCUGAGAGGAUGAUCAGUCAGACUGGAACUGAGACACGGUCCAGACUCCUACGGGAGGCAGCAGUGAGGAAUCUUCCACAAUGGGCGAAAGCCUGAUGGAGCAACGCCGCGUGCAGGAUGAAGGCCUUCGGGUCGUAAACUGCUUUUAUAAGUGAAGAAUAUGACGGUAACUUAUGAAUAAGCACCGGCUAACUACGUG